GAUGGACGCUGGCGGCGUGCCUAAUACAUGCAAGUAGAACGCUGAAGCUUGGUGCUUGCCCCGAGCGGAUGAGUUGCGAACGGGUGAGUAACGCGUAGGUAACCUGCCUCUUAGCGGGGGAUAACUAUUGGAAACGAUAGCUAAUACCGCAUAAAAGUCGAUAUCGCAUGAUAUUGAUUUGAAAGGUGCAAAUGCAUCACUAAGAGAUGGACCUGCGUUGUAUUAGCUAGUUGGUGAGGUAACGGCUCACCAAGGCGACGAUACAUAGCCGACCUGAGAGGGUGAUCGGCCACACUGGGACUGAGACACGGCCCAGACUCCUACGGGAGGCAGCAGUAGGGAAUCUUCGGCAAUGGGGGCAACCCUGACCGAGCAACGCCGCGUGAGUGAAGAAGGUUUUCGGAUCGUAAAGCUCUGUUGUAAGAGAAGAACGAGUGUGAGAGUGGAAAGUUCACACUGUGACGGUAACUUACCAGAAAGGGACGGCUAACUACGUG
RNAcentral lists this ribosomal RNA (497 nucleotides) under uncultured bacterium. Its description in RNAcentral is "partial 16S ribosomal RNA". It matches the Rfam family "Bacterial small subunit ribosomal RNA", at positions 28 to 507 of the family's 1533-position model. The record is from RNAcentral.